Molecule: ribosomal RNA, 465 nt
Filed under: uncultured bacterium
Lineage: Bacteria
Description: bacterial SSU rRNA
Rfam family: Bacterial small subunit ribosomal RNA
Source: RNAcentral
CUGGCGGCGUGCUUAACACAUGCAAGUCGAACGGGAGUAUUGAAGAAGCGUUGCUUUAGAGAUACUUUAGUGGCGGACGGGUGAGUAACGCGUGAGGAGCUGUCCUAUGCAGGGGGACAACAGCUGGAAACGGCUGCUAAUACCCCAUAAGCCGAGAGGUAAAAGGAUCAAUCCGGCAGAGGAGGUACUCGCGUCCUAUCAGCUAGUAGGUGAGGUAACGGCUCACCUAGGCGAAGACGGGUAGCCGGCCUGAGAGGGCGAACGGCCACACUGGAACUGAGAUACGGUCCAGACUCCUACGGGAGGCAGCAGUGGGGAAUAUUGGGCAAUGGGGGGAAAAACCCCCUGACCCAGCGACGCCGCGUGGGUGAAGAAAUCCUUCGGGAUGUAAAGCCCUGUUGUAUGGGAAGAGCGGAAGACGGUACCAUACGAGGAAGCCCCGGCAAACUACGUGCCAGCAGCGGC